AAUCUUCCACAAUGGACGGAAGUCUGAUGGAGCAACGCCGCGUGAGCGAAGAAGGUUNNNGGAUCNUCAGGCCCUGUUGUAAGNGAANAACACGUACGGGAGUCACUUCCCGUACCUUUACGGUACUCUCUCAGAAAGCCCCGCCUACCUCUGUGCCAGCAGCCGCGGUAAUACGUAGGGGGCAAGCGUUUUCCGGAAUUAUUGGGCGUAAAGCGCGCGCAGGCGGUCCUUUAAGUCUGAUGUGAAAGCCCACGGCUCAACCGUGGAGGGUCAUUGGAAACUGGAGGACUUGAGUACAGAAGAGGAAAGCAGAAUUCCACGUGUAGCGGUGAAAUGCGUAGAGAUGUGGAGGAACACCAGUGGCGAAGGCGGCUUUCUGGUCUGUAACUGACGCUGAGGCGCGAAAGCGUGGGGAGCAAACAG
This 423-nucleotide ribosomal RNA is filed under the name uncultured bacterium. RNAcentral describes it as "partial 16S ribosomal RNA". It matches the Rfam family "Bacterial small subunit ribosomal RNA", at positions 360 to 775 of the family's 1533-position model. The record is from RNAcentral.